Molecule: unclassified non-coding RNA, 153 nt
Filed under: soil metagenome
Description: partial internal transcribed spacer 1
Source: RNAcentral
GUGAUUGAAAUCGAGCGUGUCUUCAUUGACCGCUCACCCUUCUCACCAUCCACAUACACCUGUGCACUGUUUAGCCUGAGCCGGUUUUCCGGUCCAGGUUAUCAUUUCAUACAAACUCUAGUCCUUAUGAAUGUAAACGUUUUAAUACAUAAU